Long non-coding RNA from Oncorhynchus tshawytscha (Chinook salmon), 2139 nucleotides. The record is from Ensembl. NCBI's taxonomy places the organism in Eukaryota, Metazoa, Chordata, Actinopteri, Salmoniformes, Salmonidae.
GGAAGAGAGUGAGGGAGGGAAGAGGGUGAAGAGGUGGAAGAGGGUGAGGGAGGGAAGAGAGUGAGGGAGGGAAGAAGGUGAGGGAUGGAAGAGGGUGAGGGAGGGAAGAGAGUGAGGGAGGGAAGAGAGUGAGCUUGAAUUGGUUGAAGAUGGCAAAAACCAAUUGGAGAUGGUUUGUUAAAGAAGAAUGGUAGAAAGCAUAAGCAGAGUGAGCCGUAAGCCGGAUCGAAGACAGGUGGAGAAAUGGAAGGGAAUUAGUGCGAAUUAUAGGAGGUGGCCGGUGUGGUGAACUUCUCGGAGCCCGAGGCUUGAUGGUCAGGAUAAAGAUGAGUCUGUGAUGGUAGGAGUGAUAUAAUGAUGGUCAGGGUAAAGAUGAGUCUGUGAUGGUAGGAGUGAUAUAAUGAUGGUCAGGAUAAAGAUGAGUCUGUGAUGGUAGGAGUGAUAUAAUGAUGGUCAGGAUAAAGAUGAGUCUGUGAUGGUAGGAGUGAAAUGUUUGAAGAAAGUGGACCCCUGUCUUUUGGCUGAUCCAUAUGCGGUUUCGGAGUGGGGGAAAACAGAGUUGGGUGCUGUGGAGUUGGUGAAGGUAACCAGAAGAGGUGGUGUGAUAAUUGUUUGUGUUUCUGCUGAUCAGAGGGAACAGGCGCUCCGCGUUACACAAAUGGGGAAAAGAGAUGUGAAUGGUUUUGCUCUAAAGAAAAGUACACCAUUGAAAGGAGUGAUUACUGGGAUCGCGGUAAAUAUCAAAGUGGACAAAACAAAAGGGGAAGAUUCCCGGGGCUUGUGAUGCUCGUCGUUUGGUGCCACGCAGAAAGAGUGGCGUGACAGAGGAGUCAUAGUCUGUCCUUUUGAGUUUUCAUGUUGAGUCAUAGUCUGUCCUUUUGAGUUUUCAUGUUGACUCAUAGUCUGUCCUUUUGAGUUUUCAUGUUGAGUCAUAGUCUGUCCUUUUGAGUUUUCAUGUUGAGUCAUAGUCUGUCCUUUUGAGUUUUCAUGUUGAGUCAUAGUCUGUCCUUUUGAGUUUUCAUGUUGAGUCAUAGUCUGUCCUUUUGAGUUUUCAUGUUGACUCAUAGUCUGUCCUUUUGAGUUUUCAUGUUGAGUCAUAGUCUGUCCUUUUGAGUUUUCAUGUUGAGUCAUAGUCUGUCCUUUUGAGUUUUCAUGUUGACUCAUAGUCUGUCCUUUUGAGUUUUCAUGUUGACUCAGUCUGUCCUUUUGAGUUUUCAUGUUGAGUCAUAGUCUGUCCUUUUGAGUUUUCAUGUUGAGUCAUAGUCUGUCCUUUUGAGUUUUCAUGUUGAGUCAUAGUCUGUCCUUUUGAGUUUUCAUGUUGAGUCAUUGCCCGACAAAGUGAUAUCAGCAUAUACAAGUUAUCCUGUACGAGCUUUUGUGCCUAAUCCAUUACGUUGUUACAGGUGUCAAGCAAAUGGACAUGUGGCAGCAGUGUGUAGGAGGGAGGUUCCUAGGUGUGUGAAGUGUGCAGAAGGGCAUGAGACAAAGAAAUGUGUAGCAUUGGGGAAAGUAGUGGUAUGUGUUAAUUGUAGGGGAGUCCAUGAGGCUGGGGAUCAGACAUGUGUAGCAGUGGGGAAAGUAGUGGUAUGUGUUAAUUGUAGGGGAGUCCAUGAGGCUGGGGAUCAGACAUGUCCAGUGAGAGAGGCAGGUUGAGGUUUCCAGGGUUACAGUAGUACAGAGGGUAUCAUAUGCUGAAGCACAGUAGCAGAACGUGGCUAAAAUCACUGGGGAAGCAAAAGCCAGUAAAAAGGCACAUUACAACCUGUUGUGAUCAUUUCUUUGUUUCUAUAACCCUUUUUGUUCAUACACCACCUUGACAUACAAUAAGGCCGUGACAACAAAAUGACAGUCACACGGUGGAGGAACAGUCACACGGUGGAGGAACAGUCACACAGUGGAGGAACAGUCACACAGUGGAGGAACAGUCACACAGUGGCAGAACAGUCACACAGUGGCGGAACAGUCACACGGUGGAGGAACAGUCACACAGUGGCAGAACAGUCACACGGUGGAGGAACAGUCACACAGUGGAGGAACAGUCACACAAUGGAGGAACAGUCACACAGUGGAGGAACAGUCACACAGUGGCGGAACAGUCACACAGAGGCAGAACAGUCACACAGUGGAGGAACAGUCACA